UCUCUAGUUGGAGUGGCGCAAGGGCGCGUGACACGUGGGUAAUCUGCCGUAAAGACUGGGAUAACUCGCUGAAAGGCGAGCUAAUACCGGAUGAGACUGUUAGGAGGCAUCUUCUGACAUUGGAAGCUGGGGACCGAAAGGCCUGGCACUUUACGAUGAGCCCGCGGCCUAUCAGCUAGUUGGUGAGGUAACGGCUCACCAAGGCAAAGACGGGUAGCUGGUCUGAGAGGACGACCAGCCACACUGGAACUGAGACACGGUCCAGACACCUACGGGUGGCAGCAGUCGAGAAUUUUUCACAAUGAGCGCAAGCCUGAUGGAGCGACGCCGCGUGGGGGAUGAAGGGUUUCGAUCCGUAAACCCCUGUCAUUUGCGAACAAACCUUGAGUGAUAAUACCAUUCAAGCUGAUUGUAGCGGAAGAGGAAGGGACGGCUAACUCUGUGCCAGCAGCCGCGGUAAUACAGAGGUCCAAGCGUUGUUCGGAUUCACUGGGCGUAAAGGGUGCGUAGGUGGCCGGGUAAGUUCGGUGUGAAAGCUCGGAGCUCAACUCCGGAAUGGCAUUGAAUACUAUCCGGCUGGAGGGUCGGAGGGGAGACUGGAAUUCUCGGUGUAGCAGUGAAAUGCGUAGAUAUCGAGAGGAACACCAGUGGCGAAGGCGAGUCUCUGGACGACUCCUGACACUGAGGCACGAAAGCUAGGGGAGCAAACAGGAUUAGAUACCCUGGUAGUCCUAGCUGUAAACGGUGCACGUUUGCUGUGAGAGGAAUCGACCCCUUUCGUGGCGAAGCUAACGCGCUAAACGUGCCGCCUGGGGAGUACGGUCGCAAGAUUAAACUCAAGAAAUUGACGGGGGCCUGCACAAGCGGUGGAGUAUGUGGCUUAAUUCGAUGCACGCGAAGAACCUUACCUGGUCUUGACAUGCACGUGGUAGGAGCCUGAAA
This 942-nucleotide ribosomal RNA is filed under the name uncultured bacterium. RNAcentral's name for it is "bacterial SSU rRNA". It matches the Rfam family "Bacterial small subunit ribosomal RNA", at positions 83 to 1006 of the family's 1533-position model. The record is from RNAcentral.